RNAcentral lists this ribosomal RNA (500 nucleotides) under uncultured bacterium. RNAcentral describes it as "partial 16S ribosomal RNA". It matches the Rfam family "Bacterial small subunit ribosomal RNA", at positions 30 to 523 of the family's 1533-position model. The record is from RNAcentral.
AUUGAACGCUGGCGGAAUGCUUUACACAUGCAAGUCGAACGGCAGCACGGACUUCGGUCUGGUGGCGAGUGGCGAACGGGUGAGUAAUAUAUCGGAACGUAUCCAAUAAUGGGGGAUAACUAAUCGAAAGGUUGGCUAAUACCGCAUACGUCCUACGGGAGAAAGCUAGGGACCUUCGGGCCUGGCGUUAAUGGAGCGGCCGAUAUCGGAUUAGCUAGUUGGUGAGGUAAAGGCUCACCAAGGCGACGAUCCGUAGCUGGUCUGAGAGGACGACCAGCCACACUGGAACUGAGACACGGUCCAGACUCCUACGGGAGGCAGCAGUGGGGAAUUUUGGACAAUGGGCGAAAGCCUGAUCCAGCCAUUCCGCGUGAGUGAAGAAGGCCUUCGGGUUGUAAAGCUCUUUCGCAAGAGAAGAAAACUUACCCUCUAACAUAGGGUGAGGUUGACGGUAUCUUGAUAAGAAGCACCGGCUAACUACGUGCCAGCCGCCGCAGUAA